Cyprinodon tularosa is the source of this 598-nucleotide long non-coding RNA. RefSeq lists it as uncharacterized. NCBI's taxonomy places the organism in Eukaryota, Metazoa, Chordata, Actinopteri, Cyprinodontiformes, Cyprinodontidae. The transcript is spliced from 3 exons. The record is from RefSeq and is a predicted model, not a curated record.
AGCCCGUGGGCUCGGCUUUCCGCAAAUAGCUGAUGUAUUUGCUUCAUCUACAUCUUGGUGCUGGGUCCUGAAACAGAUAGAAACAUUAGGGCUUGCGGUUAAUUCGCCUAAAUAAAGAGUUUUAGCCAUAAUAUUGUGCAGAAGGGUUCAUACUUGCUGGCAGGAAUACUUCUGACAUCUACACACUGCCACUUGUUCCAGGCACAGUAUGGAUCCCUGGAGAGGAUGCACUCCCCACAGCUCUGAUAAUUAGAGCAGUUAGCUACUGGGACCUCAACAACUUCAGAGAGAGACGAAACGUAGAGCCGACCCUGGAGGGAGACCACAAUGUAGUUGCAACAAAUCCUUCAGCAAGAGUCAUUCACAUGUGAUAGUCACUCUGCGGUGUGGAAGCUCCAACUCACUUCCUCCAUUUACCCUAAGAUGCCGAAACUGCAGACGAGGCUUGCUGAUAAAAUGUCAAGCGGCGGAGCACCUGGUUUGAUUGCAGAGUCUGCCACAGCUUUUAAUGCCUGACACUGCGAAAAAAGAGCAGCAGGAGCUCCGCAGCAGAACCAGAAAACCUGGACAAAAGGAGCUUUCACUGAAGGUUUUUUUU